RNAcentral lists this long non-coding RNA (700 nucleotides) under Pan troglodytes (chimpanzee). RNAcentral describes it as "lincRNA". Lineage: Eukaryota; Metazoa; Chordata; Mammalia; Primates; Hominidae. The record is from RNAcentral.
GGCCUCCAUCUUGAAAACGGAAAAUAAAAACAGCAGACCUAUGAAGGUCGAAGGGGAAGAAAAGCUGUAUCGAUUGUUGAGAUCUGGCGACUUGUUUAAAUUUCAUCAGCCUCACUUCUAUGAACUCUCAGAGCUGAUUACCAACUCCUACCACUGUUAACCCUCAUCCAGGAAAAAGCUUAUGUCUUUAACAUUCUGAGUGGGCUUCAGCAUCCUUGCAUAUGUUCAAUUCUUAAAAACCUGUUGAAAUAAAAGAUCAGGAGACAUAGGAAGGAUGCCAGAAGAGAGCGUGGCCUCAUGUGUACCAGCUCUCUGCUCUCCUUUGCCUUGGGACGUUCCAUCCCUGGAAGUUUCCCUGCCCACAUCUUUGUAGAGAGUCCAUUCUCCAAGCUUCAGUGUGUCAUCUGUGAGGACUGUGACCAACCUGGUACAUCGCCUCAGGGCAUUCAUUUCAGGCUCCUUCUAAAUGGUCAAGUUUUCAAGAUUGUUUUGGCUCUAGCAAAACAAGUUGGAACAUUCACAUCAUCCACUGCACUGAUGAGGAAACUGAAACAGAAAAUCCAGAGUAAAUUCCACCAGGCCACACAGCAAGGUCUGAUAGAGCCAGGAGAGACUUUAUGAAAUCCAGACUCUCACACUAAUGCUCUAUCAGCUAGACCUCCAUGUGAGUCUCCCCAAUGUAGGUAGGAAGUGCUUUCCC